This 371-nucleotide ribosomal RNA is filed under the name uncultured bacterium. RNAcentral's name for it is "bacterial SSU rRNA". It matches the Rfam family "Bacterial small subunit ribosomal RNA", at positions 527 to 896 of the family's 1533-position model. The record is from RNAcentral.
GUAGGGGGCAAGCGUUGUCCGGAAUCAUUGGGCGUAAAGAGCGUGUAGGCGGCUUGGUAAGUCCGCUGUGAAAGUCCAGGGCUCAACCCUGGAAAGCCGGUGGAAACUGUCAAGCUUGAGUCCGGAAGAGGCGAGUGGAAUUCCUGGUGUAGCGGUGAAAUGCGCAGAUAUCAGGAGGAACACCAAUGGCGAAGGCAGCUCGCUGGGACGGUACUGACGCUGAGACGCGAAAGCGUGGGGAGCAAACAGGAUUAGAUACCCUGGUAGUCCACGCCGUAAACGAUGGGCACUAGGUGUGGGGGGUGUCGACUCCCUCCGUGCCGACGCUAACGCAUUAAGUGCCCCGCCUGGGGAGUACGGCCGCAAGGCUA